AGUGAACGCUGGCGGUAGGCCUAACACAUGCAAGUCGAACGGCAGCACAGUAAGAGCUUGCUCUUACGGGUGGCGGGUGGCGGACGGGUGAGGUAUACAUCGGAAUCUACUUUUUCGUGGGGGAUAACGUAGGGAAACUUACGCUAAUACCGCAUACGACCUACGGGUGAAAGCAGGGGAUCUUCUGACCUUGCGCGGUUGAAUGAGCCGAUGUCGGAGUAGCUAGUUGGCGGGGUAAAGGCCCACCAAGGCGCCGAUCCGUAGCUGGUCUGAGAGGAUGAUCAGCCACACUGGAACUGAGACACGGUCCAGACUCCUACGGGAGGCAGCAGUGGGGAAUAUUGGACAAUGGGCGCAAGCCUGAUCCAGCCAUACCGCGUGGGUGAAGAAGGCCUUCGGGUUGGAAAGCCCUUUUGUUGGGAAAGAAAAGCAGCAGGUUAAUACCCCGCUGUUCUGACGGUACCCAAAGAAUAAGCACCGGCUAACUUCGUG
Molecule: ribosomal RNA, 492 nt
Filed under: uncultured bacterium
Lineage: Bacteria
Description: partial 16S ribosomal RNA
Rfam family: Bacterial small subunit ribosomal RNA
Source: RNAcentral